This 17-nucleotide small RNA is filed under the name Arabidopsis thaliana (thale cress). RNAcentral's name for it is "ATSL067740". The record is from RNAcentral. Lineage: Eukaryota; Viridiplantae; Streptophyta; Magnoliopsida; Brassicales; Brassicaceae.
AUCAUGGAAGCUAGCUC